GACGAACGCUGGCGGCGUGCUUAACACAUGCAAGUCGAACGGGCCCGCCCCUGUUUUUGGGGGUGGGUUGAGUGGCGAACGGGUGAGUAUCACGUGAGUAACCUGCCCCCUGCUCCUGGAUAACUGCUUGAAAGGGCGGCUAAUACGGGGUGUGCCGGCUGGUCCGCAUGGGCCUGGUCGGGAUAGUUUCAUCUUCGGGUGUUUCGGUGGGGGAUGGGCUCGCGGCCUAUCAGCUUGUUGGUGGGGUGAUGGCCCACCAAGGCGGUGACGGGUAGCCGGCGUGAGAGGGUGGGCGGACAGACUGGGACUGAGGCACGGCCCAGACUCCUGCGGGAGGCAGCAGUGGGGGGUAUUGCACAGUGGGCGGAAGCCUGAUGCAGCGACGUCGCGUGAGGGAUGGAGGCCUUCGGGUUGUGAACCUCUUUCUCCGGUGGUGAAGGCCCUGUCCGUUGCGGCGGGGUUGACGGUAGCCGGGUAUGAAGCGCCGGCUAACUACGUG
This 499-nucleotide ribosomal RNA is filed under the name uncultured bacterium. Its description in RNAcentral is "partial 16S ribosomal RNA". It matches the Rfam family "Bacterial small subunit ribosomal RNA", at positions 28 to 507 of the family's 1533-position model. The record is from RNAcentral.